UGGGAAACUGCCUGAUGGAGGGGGAUAACUACUGGAAACGGUGGCUAAUACCGCAUAACGUCGCAAGACCAAAGAGGGGGACCUUCGGGCCUCUUGCCAUCAGAUGUGCCCAGAUGGGAUUAGCUUGUUGGUGAGGUAACGGCUCACCAAGGCGACGAUCCCUAGCUGGUCUGAGAGGAUGACCAGCCACACUGGAACUGAGACACGGUCCAGACUCCUACGGGAGGCAGCAGUGGGGAAUAUUGCACAAUGGGCGCAAGCCUGAUGCAGCCAUGCCGCGUGUAUGAAGAAGGCCUUCGGGUUGUAAAGUACUUUCAGCGGGGAGGAAGGUGUUGUGGUUAAUAACCGCAGCAAUUGACGUUACCCGCAGAAGAAGCACCGGCUAACUCCGUGCCAGCAGCCGCGGUAAUACGGAGGGUGCAAGCGUUAAUCGGAAUUACUGGGCGUAAAGCGCACGCAGGCGGUCUGUCAAGUCGGAUGUGAAAUCCCCGGGCUCAACCUGGGAACUGCAUUCGAAACUGGCAGGCUUGAGUCUUGUAGAGGGGGGUAGAAUUCCAGGUGUAGCGGUGAAAUGCGUAGAGAUCUGGAGGAAUACCGGUGGCGAAGGCGGCCCCCUGGACAAAGACUGACGCUCAGGUGCGAAAGCGUGGGGAGCAAACAGGAUUAGAUACCCUGGUAGUCCACGCCGUAAACGAUGUCUACUUGGAGGUUGUGCCCUUGAGGCGUGGCUUCCGGAGCUAACGCGUUAAGUAGACCGCCUGGGGAGUACGGCCGCAAGGUUAAAACUCAAAUGAAUUGACGGGGGCCCGCACAAGCGGUGGAGCAUGUGGUUUAAUUCGAUGCAACGCGAAGAACCUUACCUGGUCUUGACAUCCACAGAAGAAUCCAGAGAUGGAUUUGUGCCUUCGGGAACUGUGAGACAGGUGCUGCAUGGCUGUCGUCAGCUCGUGUUGUGAAAUGUUGGGUUAAGUCCCGCAACGAGCGCAAC
This 988-nucleotide ribosomal RNA is filed under the name Salmonella enterica. RNAcentral describes it as "bacterial SSU rRNA". It matches the Rfam family "Bacterial small subunit ribosomal RNA", at positions 118 to 1102 of the family's 1533-position model. Lineage: Bacteria; Pseudomonadati; Pseudomonadota; Gammaproteobacteria; Enterobacterales; Enterobacteriaceae. The record is from RNAcentral.